Molecule: ribosomal RNA, 451 nt
Filed under: uncultured Pseudomonadota bacterium
Lineage: Bacteria; Pseudomonadati; Pseudomonadota
Description: bacterial SSU rRNA
Rfam family: Bacterial small subunit ribosomal RNA
Source: RNAcentral
AUUGAACGCUGGCGGUAUGCUUAACACAUGCAAGUCGGACGGAAACAGCAGAGAGCUUGCUCUCUGGCUGUCGAGUGGCGGAUGGGUGAGUAAUAUAUAGGAACCUACCUUAUAGUUUGGGAUAACUACUCGAAAGAGUGGCUAAUACCGGAUGUGGACUAAGGUUUAAAGCAGGGGAUCUUCGGACCUUGCGCUAUGAGAUGGGCCUAUACAAGAUUAGCUAGUUGGUGAGGUAAGGGGCUCACCAAGGCGACGGAUCUUUAGCUGGUUUGAGAGGAUGAUCAGCCACACUGGGACUGGGACACGGCCCAGACUCCUACGGGAGGCAGCAGUGGGGAAUAUUGGACAAUGGGGGCAACCCUGAUCCAGCCAUGCCGCGUGUGUGAAGAAGGUCUUCGGAUUGUAAAGCACUUUAAGUUGUGAGGAAGGGUACGUGUAACGAACGUACUUU